AUGGCUCCGAUUUGGGGUAGGUUGUGGGGUGGGGACCUCGGUGACUUGUCCUCUUGUCCCCUGGCCGCUGCUGCUGACCUGCGCCUCAGGGCGAGCGUGGAGAGAAAGGUGACGAAGGCACCCCGGGUGAAGCAGGCCUGCCUGGCAAACCCGGAGACAGGGGCCCGCGGGGGCUGCCCGGGUACCGCGGCCCCCCCGGGGAGAAGGGCGACCUCGGAGACCCAGGGCCUGAAGGCAGAAACGGCGCCCCAGGAGCACCAGGGAACAAGGGUGACCGCGGAGAGCCGGGACCUCCUGGACCCCCGGGACGAGCAGUGGAUGCGGGGCUCGGAGGAGCAGGGGAGAAGGGCGAGAAGGGGGACCCCGGGGACCCCGGCGAGGACGGUGCGAAGGGUGCCAGGGGUGACCCCGGCCCCCCCGGCCUGCCAGGAGAGAGGGGCAUCGAGGGCCCCCGCGGCCCCCCUGGCACACGGGUGA
RNAcentral lists this long non-coding RNA (477 nucleotides) under Cairina moschata (Muscovy duck). RNAcentral's name for it is "domestica (muscovy Duck (domestic type)) lncRNA (ENSCMMG00000017568.1)". The record is from RNAcentral. Lineage: Eukaryota; Metazoa; Chordata; Aves; Anseriformes; Anatidae.